CGACCGGCGCACGGGUGAGUAACACGUAUGCAACCUGGCCGUGACAGAUGGAUAACCGGGAGAAAUCCCGCCUAAUACAACAUAAUGCCGGGAGGGGACAUCCCCUGCCGGUCAAAGGGGGCGACCCCGGUCAUGGAUGGGCAUGCGGCGCAUUAGGUAGUUGGUGGGGCAACGGCCCACCAAGCCGACGAUGCGUAGAGGUUCUGAGAGGAAGGUCCCCCACAUUGGAACUGAGACACGGUCCAAACUCCUACGGAAGGCAGCAG
Molecule: ribosomal RNA, 266 nt
Filed under: uncultured bacterium
Lineage: Bacteria
Description: partial 16S ribosomal RNA
Rfam family: Bacterial small subunit ribosomal RNA
Source: RNAcentral